This 332-nucleotide unclassified non-coding RNA is filed under the name Hevea brasiliensis (rubber tree). Lineage: Eukaryota; Viridiplantae; Streptophyta; Magnoliopsida; Malpighiales; Euphorbiaceae. The record is from RNAcentral.
GGUAUUGUGAAGAUGGGGAUGAGAGGCUUUUAGUCUAUGAUUACAUGAAGAAUGGAGCUUUAUAUGACCAUUUACAUGACAAGAACAAUAUUCAAAAGAAGAGUAGUGUGAUAAAUUCCUGGAAAAUGAGGAUCAAGAUUGCAUUAGAUGCUGCUAGAGGAAUUGAAUAUCUUCACAAUUAUGCAGUACCACCGAUAAUUCAUAGAGAUAUCAAGUCCUCUAACAUAUUGCUCGACUUGAAUUGGACAGCAAGAGUCUCAGAUUUUGGAUUGUCAUUGAUGGGUCCUGAAUCUGAAAGAGAUCACAGGCCAAUGAAGGCAGCAGGAACAGUU